UACGGGGGGGGCAAGCGUUGUUCGGAAUUACUGGGCGUAAAGGGCUCGUAGGUUGCCAACUAAUUCAGACGUGAAAUCCCUCGGCUUAACCGGGGAACUGCGUCUGAUACUGGAUGGCUUGAGUUUGGGAGAGGGACGCGGAAUUCCAGGUGUAGCGGUGAAAUGCGUAGAUAUCUGGAGGAACACCGGUGGCGAAGGCGGCGUCCUGGACCAACACUGACACUGAUGAGCGAAAGCCAGGGGAGCAAACGGG
Molecule: ribosomal RNA, 253 nt
Filed under: uncultured bacterium
Lineage: Bacteria
Description: partial 16S ribosomal RNA
Rfam family: Bacterial small subunit ribosomal RNA
Source: RNAcentral